AAUUCUCAAACCUUCUUGGUUUCUUGACCAAGUUGGCUUUGGACUCUGGAGGUGUUUUGCUGGCUUUGCGGAAAGUCGGCUCCUCUUAAAUGCAUUAGUGGGGUCCCCUUUGCCAAUCCCCAGGCGUGAUAAGAUGUUUCUACGUCUUGGGAUUUGCUCUGUUCAUUGGGAACCUGCUUCCAACCGUCUCGUGAGAGACAUCGUUCGAGUUUGCUCGACACACGAAUC
This 228-nucleotide unclassified non-coding RNA is filed under the name uncultured Russula. RNAcentral describes it as "sequence contains ITS2". The record is from RNAcentral. Lineage: Eukaryota; Fungi; Basidiomycota; Agaricomycetes; Russulales; Russulaceae.